CUUCAUAUUUCAACAGAUCUACAUUCAGGUCACUGUAUUGCCCUAAACCUUAAAUAUUAAAAUUAAAAUAAAAAUGGAAUUCUUAUUCGAAGUUCUUAACCUGAAUUCUGCAACUACGUCGACUAAAUUUCUGACGUCGUCGUCUUCCACGUUCUCCUAGAUUUGCUCGUUCGCGAUCUUCACAAGUGAUUUGAAGGACAUCAUCACAUAGACUAUAUCGAGUGCAAGACAGAGAGAAAAAACUUCGUUGGCCGAAUUUGUGAUGCAGUCUUCUUCCCUGUUCUCCUAGUUUGUUCAUUCGGCAUCUACACCGGCGAUCUGGAAGACAUCUUCAUCGGUUAGUCAGAGAGUUUUGACUUAUUACAGAGAGAUGGAGGGGAGAGAGAGACAAGUCUUGUGUGUAGUGUGCGUGAGUGAAUAUGUUUUCGCCCAAUAUCUUUUAAAAUUGAUAAUUGCCAGAAAAGUGUCAAAUGACAUUUUGACCAAGUGACAUUAUUUUGAAUUCAAAUUAUCACCAGAUAAGCAUUCUGUCAAAAAUUCUGGCAAAGUUUA
Molecule: long non-coding RNA, 552 nt
Filed under: Olea europaea (common olive)
Lineage: Eukaryota; Viridiplantae; Streptophyta; Magnoliopsida; Lamiales; Oleaceae
Description: long non-coding RNA (OEUR_LNC011934)
Source: RNAcentral